UACGUAGGGUGCGAGCGUUGUCCGGAAUUAUUGGGCGUAAAGGGCUCGUAGGCGGUUUGUCACGUCGGGAGUGAAAACUCAGGGCUUAACCCUGAGCCUGCUUCCGAUACGGGUGGACUAGAGGUAGGUAGGGGAGAACGGAAUUCCUGGUGUAGCGGUGAAAUGCGCAGAUAUCAGGAGGAACACCGGUGGCGAAGGCGGUUCUCUGGGCCUUACCUGACGCUGAGGAGCGAAAGCGUGGGGAGCAAACAGG
RNAcentral lists this ribosomal RNA (253 nucleotides) under uncultured bacterium. Its description in RNAcentral is "partial 16S ribosomal RNA". It matches the Rfam family "Bacterial small subunit ribosomal RNA", at positions 524 to 776 of the family's 1533-position model. The record is from RNAcentral.